AUCCUGGAGACCUGGCUUCUCCAGUACCCAGGAGACUUUUGCCAGUGCCCAGACAUGGCCAGCCUCAAGCAGCUCAUGGACUAUGCCCUACUGAACCUUCCAGAUUCAGACAUCAUCCUGCAAGUGGGCAGACUUAGGCCUAAUUUAGAGUUUGCUAAGAGGGAUCCCUUCCAGAGUGGCUGAUCCCAACCAGGGAUCAGGACAAUUGCAGGACAAUUUAGACCACCUCACCUUGCAGGACUUCAAUUGCAAGUCUCCCUCCCUCCCCUGGAAAUGUUGCCUUUUGAUUUUUUUCCUGGUUUCAUUUAUCUGUAGUUAUUUUCUGUUAAACAUUAAUAAAAUUUUAUUGUAACAUAAAAUAGGACUGUCCCUCUAUUUUA
This 380-nucleotide long non-coding RNA is filed under the name Cavia porcellus (domestic guinea pig). Its description in RNAcentral is "lncRNA (ENSCPOG00000039718.1)". Lineage: Eukaryota; Metazoa; Chordata; Mammalia; Rodentia; Caviidae. The record is from RNAcentral.